ACAAAAUACGAAACUCUGUUCCGGACAGAAAACGGUGAUAUCUCCGGUGAAAGCUCUUCUCAGAAGGAACUGCCUGAGAGAGAACCUAAAGCAAUUGGGACAGCGGUGAUAUUGACGGCAAAGCAAGAACACGUGAUGCAUCAGCUAUGAAAGAGAACAGAAGAUAUCACUUUCUCUAGUUUUUUUUCUUAUUUGGACAAUGUUUAAGGAAUAGAAAAUUUCACAAUUAUAGAUAAAAUAAAAAACACUUGGGCAACUCACAAUUCUCUUAACUCACUCUUAUUUUUCAGAGAGAGAGGGCGAAUUUCGGUUACCCGGAAUCCAUUCCGGUAUAAUACCGGCUUUUUGUUUUGUAAUAUAUUCCGGUCCCAACGGGUCGGAUUUUGUUUUUCUGUUUUACCGGAUCUUUCUCCGGUUUAAUCGGAUAUAAUAAUCUCCAUCUUUGCUUCGGCUAAGAUUGGAUUCUGUUUUUUGUUUAUCCUCUUUCUACAGGGAUUCAAAUUGAUCUCCUCUUGCGAUCUAUUGAUCUCCAUGUUUCCCCGUCAACUUGACUCUUCUCCUUUGUCGGAGUAAUAUCUUCGCCGCUUAACUUGAAGAGGACCUUUUUAGGUCUUAGGCGGAGCUUCCAACGAGUAGAUUGGGUUAAGAAGUUGAAGACUUGAUGAUGUCUUCUUGUGGCCUUUUUCAGACGGAUCCAGUGGGUUUCAAUUUGCUUUGCAUGGACGUAAUCUGUAGAAAGGGAGUGGUGGUGGUUUCCCGAAGCCGGCGGCGGAGCUGUGUCAACUCGUGCAGUUUGGUCGGCACCGUCCGUUUCAUCUUCUCCUUCUUGCGUGCUAACACGUAUGUUACACGUGGCACCUUCUUUCCUUAGUCUUUUCUAAAAGAAAUCGACUAAAGAGUUGUUAUUUCAAUUAAGGUUGUAAAUGUUGGGGUUGGGCUUCUGUAUUCUCAUCAUUGUACUAUUAGUUAUUGGGCUUUGUACUACUGCCCAUUGGGCUUCCAUAUUAAUGGAAUUUGGCCGACAAAAAAAAAAAUCACAACUCACAAUGUACAAAUUAAGAUUAAUUAUUACUAACCAUAUUUAAAAAGUGUCUACUAAUAUUUUAACUUUUAGCAUAAUAUUGUUAUAAAAAAAAUUUGGAAAUAUUAUGGGGUCAAGUGACCCCCCUCCUAAUGCUCUAGCUCCGUCACUGAGUGACAUGAGAGAAAAGAAAAUGCAUUGUUUUAUUAAGCAAAAAUUAAGAAAAAUAUGAGCAAAACAUAAGAUAAUAUGAUAAAAUAUAAAAAAUAUAGGUGUGUUUGUUAAUGUUUACAUGUGUAAUGUCAAUAUCCACAAAUUUGAAUUUAAGAAUUCAAAGUUUGUGAAACAC
Molecule: small RNA, 1370 nt
Filed under: Arabidopsis thaliana (thale cress)
Lineage: Eukaryota; Viridiplantae; Streptophyta; Magnoliopsida; Brassicales; Brassicaceae
Description: ATSL083450
Source: RNAcentral